This 387-nucleotide ribosomal RNA is filed under the name uncultured bacterium. Its description in RNAcentral is "bacterial SSU rRNA". It matches the Rfam family "Bacterial small subunit ribosomal RNA", at positions 28 to 416 of the family's 1533-position model. The record is from RNAcentral.
GACGAACGCUGGCGGCGUGCUUAACACAUGCAAGUCGAGCGGUAAGGCCCUUUCGGGGGUACACGAGCGGCGAACGGGUGAGUAACACGUGGGUGACCUGCCCUCAGCUCUGGGAUAAGCCUGGGAAACCGGGUCUAAUACUGGAUAUGACUCCAUGACGCAUGUUGUGGGGUGGGAAGCCUUGUGCGGCUGAGGAUGGGCCCGCGGCCUAUCAGCUUGUUGGUGGGGUGAUGGCCUACCAAGGCGACGACGGGUAGCCGGCCUGAGAGGGCGACCGGCCACACUGGGACUGAGACACGGCCCAGACUCCUACGGGAGGCAGCAGUGGGGAAUCUUGCGCAAUGGGCGAAAGCCUGACGCAGCGACGCCGCGUGAGGGAUGACGGCC